This 1379-nucleotide ribosomal RNA is filed under the name uncultured Bacteroidota bacterium. RNAcentral describes it as "bacterial SSU rRNA". It matches the Rfam family "Bacterial small subunit ribosomal RNA", at positions 29 to 1394 of the family's 1533-position model. The record is from RNAcentral. Lineage: Bacteria; Pseudomonadati; Bacteroidota.
AUGAACGCUAGCGGCAGGCUUAACACAUGCAAGUCGAGGGGUAACAGGAGUAGCUUGCUACUUGCUGACGACCGGCGCACGGGUGCGUAACGCGUAUAGAAUCUACCUUGUACUAGGGGAUAGCCUUUGGAAACGAAGAUUAAUACCCUAUAGUAAGUAUUUAUGGCAUCAUUUAUACUUUAAAGGUUACGGUACAAGAUGACUAUGCGUCCUAUUAGUUUGUUGGUGAGGUAACGGCUCACCAAGACUUCGAUAGGUAGGGGCCCUGAGAGGGGGAUCCCCCACACUGGUACUGAGACACGGACCAGACUCCUACGGGAGGCAGCAGUGAGGAAUAUUGGACAAUGGAGGCAACUCUGAUCCAGCCAUGCCGCGUGCAGGAUGACGGCCCUAUGGGUUGUAAACUGCUUUUAUGUAGGGAAGAAACACUCUCACGGGGUGAGAGCUUGACGGUACUACAAGAAUAAGGACCGGCUAACUCCGGUGGCCAGCAGCCGCGGGUAAUACGGAAGGGGUCCAAGGCGGUUAUCCGGGAAUCAUUGGGGUUUAAAGGGGUCCGUAGGGCGGGGCUAUUAGUCAGAGGUGAAAAGUUUGGCAGCUCAACUGUAAAAUUGCCUUUGAAACUGGUAGUCUUGAAUUAUUAUGAAGUGGUUAGAAUAUGUAGUGUAGCGGUGAAAUGCAUAGAUAUUACAUAGAAUACCAAUUGCGAAGGCAGAUUACUAAUAAUCAACUGACACUGAUGGACGAAAGCGUGGGUAGCGAACAGGAUUAGAUACCCUGGUAGUCCACGCCGUAAACGAUGGUUACUAGCUGUUUGGACUUCGGUCUGAGUGGCUAAGCGAAAGUGAUAAGUAACCCACCUGGGGAGUACGUUCGCAAGAAUGAAACUCAAAGGAAUUGACGGGGGCCCGCACAAGCGGUGGAGCAUGUGGUUUAAUUCGAUGAUACGCGAGGAACCUUACCAGGGCUUAAAUGUAAGUUGCAUUAGUUAGAGAUAGCUAUUUCUUCGGACCACUUACAAGGUGCUGCAUGGUUGUCGUCAGCUCGUGCCGUGAGGUGUCAGGUUAAGUCCUAUAACGAGCGCAACCCCUGUUGUUAGUUGCCAGCGAGUCAUGUCGGGAACUCUAACAAGACUGCCAGUGCAAACUGUGAGGAAGGUGGGGAUGACGUCAAAUCAUCACGGCCCUUACGUCCUGGGCUACACACGUGCUACAAUGGUAGGGACAGAGAGCAGCCACUACGCGAGUAGGAGCGAAUCUAUAAACCCUAUCACAGUUCGGAUCGGAGUCUGCAACUCGACUCCGUGAAGCUGGAAUCGCUAGUAAUCGGAUAUCAGCCAUGAUCCGGUGAAUACGUUCCCGGGCCUUGCACACACCGCC